GGAAAGGCAGAAAGGCUGAGGCCCUGAGGCUGGCGAUAGUUUGUUAGGCGGCUCCCUAAACAGACUAAGGCGUCCACUCUGCACCGGAGCUUCUCAAGCGAGGCCCCCGAACAGCAGCCUCAACAUCACCUGGGAUCUCGUCAGAAAUGCAAAUUCUUCCCUCACCCCAAGUCAGCUAAAAUAGAAAUGCUAUUUCUGAGCACAAGCAACUCCAUGAACCCUAUCCUGGUUUCUCAAUAACUCCGACCACUAGAAGGAGACACGGCCAAUUUCAGAGCUGGGAUGAGGUAAGAUUCUUUGAGCCUUGGGCAUCAAAUCGUGCCAGAAAUCAAGAAUUUGGUCAAAGACUCAUGAGGGCAGGUCUGAAAAACAAAAGAACUAGUUUCCUAAUUAAUACCAAAAAUGCAUACAUAUAUAUGUAUGUUUUCUAAUUGAUCUGACAUAUAUAUAUCAUAUAUGCCAUCUAUGAUAUAUAUCUAUAUAGAUGAACUAGAAAAUAUACAUAUACACAUAAAUACUGAUAAUUUUCACAGUCUUUCAUUACUUUUCCUUUUUGUAUGAUGGAUUUGUAUGUUGAUAUCUCAAAUGUCACCAGUGGGUUCCCUAUGAAACAAGUGCUUUUGUCUUUUACACUUGCCCUCAUGAGUCUUUGAUCACAUUCUUCUUUCAUAUAUAUUAUAUAUAUAUAAUAUAUAUAUAUAUGCUGAGUAGAUGUGAGCAUUAAAAAAUGAGUAAAAUAAAUUAAAAAUCAUAACACAAGAAUCCGUGAGUCUGUAGCAAUUAGUGCGACAAUGAGAAAAAGAACAACAAUCUUUGUCUACUCUGAUGGUGGUCAUUACAGUAAUUACGUUCACAGUACAUUGCUAAUUGAAGGAAGAAGUUUACCUUUACUCUCACUUAGAGGAAUAGUAGUUUAUUAUUUUUACUUGGUGAGAAAUUAUUUUUAAUUAAAUGUCAGGUAAGAAUAGUUAAACAAGUGGUUAAAAUUGUAAAUGAUUAUGUAAAAACCCCAAGGAAAUAACAAAUAAGAAAUAACAAAGAAGAAAACAGAAAUGCAGUAGAAAAAAGUUCAAAUCACUGAUGUAUACUCAAUCAUAUGUGAAAAUUUGUCAUGGGAAUAUGACUUCUUCUGUUGAGAAUUAUCCCCCAGCAGAUUACUAGUAAUUGUUAAAGAGAAAACAUGAGUUAAAAACAACAGAUCUGACCACUGUUAGCUUAACCAAGUUUUUAAAACUACCUUCACCACUAGUGGGGCAUUCUGUGAUUGUAUGCAGUCUAGUGUCGUGCAAUUUGAAAAACACAGCAUGAUAAAAACAUUUUCUUGCCCCAAAGUUUUAAGCCAAUGUAAUAAAAUACUCACAUCUAACUUUUAAUUUACAGGAACCUUCAACUGGGAAAAACAAGUUAACUGAUAUCAAAUACAACAAUAUAAAAACAAUUGAAUUCUGGUUAAAAAAAGAAGAGCUACAAAAGAUAUUUUGAUUAAGCAAUGAAAAAUUAAAAUAUGGACCGGAUACCAAAUGA
Molecule: long non-coding RNA, 1524 nt
Filed under: Homo sapiens (human)
Lineage: Eukaryota; Metazoa; Chordata; Mammalia; Primates; Hominidae
Description: HSALNT0355981
Source: RNAcentral